UGAGGUCGCAGUAUUUCCAGUAUUAUAUAUUGGUCUAUGGCAGUAUUAUUAUUCUCUUUGGUAGAUGGGCACGUGUAUUUCUUUCUAUCACUUAGCACAUCUCGUACCUACAUUAAUUAAAUAAAAGUGUGUUAAAGGUCCAAGUAACUUCACAAUGUUUCGUUUGCCAUUUGGUGAAAGAGUAGACCCUAUGGAGGAGAAACGGCAAGCCCGAGAAAACACCAUAAACAGUGUGAUUACUUUCUGUGUUCUUUGUGCUGCUAUAAGAAUAGCUCCCUUAAUUCUGGAACACAGUGGGUUUGACUAAUGCAUGUCAGUAUGUACAUGGCAUGUGCAUCUGUGGUGGACGCUUAGAGCUUGCAGCACUCACAUGUCAUCAUGGUUACCGACAUUAUUGUUUAAUUUUAUAAUUAUUGUUUAUUGUAGUUGAUAAAGUGUAUAAUUUUGUAUUCCCACAAACAAGUGGUUAAUGUAAUAUCUGAUAGUAUGGGAGUUAUUGAAAUAAAGAAAAAAAUAUUGUAAUAAAUUA
Manduca sexta (tobacco hornworm) is the source of this 529-nucleotide long non-coding RNA. RefSeq lists it as uncharacterized. The record is from RefSeq and is a predicted model, not a curated record. The transcript has 2 exons. NCBI's taxonomy places the organism in Eukaryota, Metazoa, Arthropoda, Insecta, Lepidoptera, Sphingidae.